RNAcentral lists this non-coding RNA (177 nucleotides) under Francisella endosymbiont of Ornithodoros moubata. RNAcentral describes it as "6S RNA". It matches the Rfam family "6S / SsrS RNA". Rfam says of the family: E. coli 6S RNA was the first non coding RNA to be sequenced, but its function was unknown until recently. The record is from RNAcentral. Lineage: Bacteria; Pseudomonadati; Pseudomonadota; Gammaproteobacteria; Thiotrichales; Francisellaceae.
AGUUGUCUGGGUUAUUGGUGAUUUAGUUACAAUCUUGUACCGAUACUACUUAGAAAAAGGAGCCUUGGUGUUUUGACUAGAGAGCAAGCUUUGAUACUUUAGCAUUGACAAAGAAGCCCAACGUUGAAACUAUAGGGAUCAAGAAUAUUGGACUAAAAACGGUAAUCUGGACAACUA